Molecule: ribosomal RNA, 458 nt
Filed under: uncultured bacterium
Lineage: Bacteria
Description: partial 16S ribosomal RNA
Rfam family: Bacterial small subunit ribosomal RNA
Source: RNAcentral
CCUACGGGUGGCUGCAGUGAGGAAUAUUGGUCAAUGGUCGGGAGCCUGAACCAGCCAAGCCGCGUGAGGGAUGAAGGUACAGAGUAUCGUAAACCUCUUUUGUCAGGGAACAAAGGCGGGGACGUGUCCCCGGCUGAGUGUACCUGACGAAAAAGCAUCGGCUAACUCCGUGCCAGCAGCCGCGGUAAUACGGAGGAUGCGAGCGUUAUCCGGAUUUAUUGGGUUUAAAGGGUGCGCAGGCGGUCUGUUAAGUCAGCGGUCAAACCCGGGGCUCAACCCCGGCCCGCCGUUGAAACUGGCAGUCUCGAGUGGGAGAGAAGUAUGCGGAAUGCGCGGUGUAGCGGUGAAUUGCAUAGAUAUCGCGCAGAACUCCGAUUGCGAAGGCAGCAUGCCGGCUCCACACUGACGCUGAGGCACGAAAGCGUGGGUAUCGAACAGGAUUAGAUACCCCUGUAGUC